AUGCAUACCAGAUGUAUUGGUGGGGUCACAAAAAUGAUUUAUGAAAAAAAGCGCUCUUAGUUCAGUUCGGUAGA
This 74-nucleotide transfer RNA is filed under the name Julbernardia paniculata. RNAcentral's name for it is "tRNA-Trp". The record is from RNAcentral. Lineage: Eukaryota; Viridiplantae; Streptophyta; Magnoliopsida; Fabales; Fabaceae.